GCUGACUUAGCUCAGUUGGUAGAGCAGCGCACUCGUAACGCGCAGGUCACAGGUUCGAUCCCUGCAGUCAGCA
RNAcentral lists this transfer RNA (73 nucleotides) under Lactobacillales bacterium. RNAcentral's name for it is "tRNA-Thr". It matches the Rfam family "tRNA". From Rfam's summary of the family: Transfer RNA (tRNA) molecules are approximately 80 nucleotides in length. The record is from RNAcentral. Lineage: Bacteria; Bacillati; Bacillota; Bacilli; Lactobacillales.